UCCAACUUUAUUAUUAUUAUUAUUAUUAUUAUUAUUAUUAUUAUUGUUGUUGUUGUUGUUGUUGUUGUUGUUGUUGUUGUUAUUGUUAUUUUAGUGAAGAAAUCACUAAAAUCACUAAACUUCACCCAGUGGAGUUUGCCUUUAGUCUUGUGACCAAAAGAAAAAAGAAAAAAAUAUGUACACUCAAUAAAUUAAAUCAUAUUUAAGUGUAUACAUGUAAAGAUUUAAAUGAUAUGACUGACUUUACAGAUAGUUCUCAACUUACAAUCACAAUUGCUUCCAGAAUUUCCAUGGUUAAGCAAAAAAGUUGUUAAGUGAGUUUUGCUCCAUUUGGUGGAUCUUUCUUGCCACAGUUGUUAAGUGAAUCACUGCAGUUAAGUUAGUAACAUAGUUGUUAAGUGAAUCUGGCUUCCCCCAUUGACUUGGCUUUUGCUUGAGUUCACAAAAGUUGAUCACCAUCAUAAAUGUAUGCCAUGUGCCAAGCAUCUGAAUUUGAUCACGUAACCAUGGGAUGCUGAAACGAUUACAAGUGUGAAAAAUAGUCACAAGACACUUUUUUCAGUGCUGUUGUAACUUCAAACAGUUACUAAUGAAUGGUUGUAAUUCAGGGAUUACCUGUACUUUGUUUGUGAGAAGCUAACAUCAGAAAUAACUCCAAAUAAUUUUCAUUUAUUCACAACUUGUUCAUUUACUAUAGAAAAUCACAAACUAAAUGCAAUAGAUAAGCCAAUUUUUAAAAUUAAAUAUUCUAAUUAAAUCCACCCCAGGAACCUUCUGGGUGGGAAAAUUCAAAAGUAGUAUCUAUGAUUCUGAAAGUAUCUUUGGAUACUAAAAAACAGAGGCAAAACCUUUCACUGUAAUUUGUGUAAUCUUGAUUUAUUAACUUGUGUAAUAAAGCUUAUAUUAUCAUAUAGAUACAUCUGCUCAGGUAUAUUUAAGAAAGGAGAAAUGUUCAAUGAAACAAGACAAAGUGCAAACAUCUAAAAUGGAUUUUUUGAGGAAAAAAUGCUGCUCAAUGGAACAAAAUAUCCUGAUUUAGAUAUAAAUCUGCUACAGUCUGGUAGAUAAUGUAUCGCUCAAUAAUUUUUAUGCAAAUUAAAGAAUAAGGAUCAAAUCCCUUCCCAGCUUUGUAACAAUGGGUCAUUUGUUAAAGCAACUAGCAUGAUUCUGAGUCUUAAUAAUAGUGUUACCUCACAACAUGUUUUUGAAUAUCCAAUAUUUGAAAUUGGGGCAUGAUUUUAAACAAUUUAAUAUUCAACAUGUUAUUUUUUUGUUUUGUUUUGGGUUUAGUUUUGCAUUUUUCUUUCCUUAUGUUGUUGUAAAUCUUGACACACUGUUUCAAUACAAUAAUAUGUAGACAGUAUUAUAGUAUACAUAUAUUAUAUUGUUUAGAUAACUUAGAGUAUUGGAAAUUAAAAAAGAGAAAAAUAUUCUACCAUUAUUAAUUGUAACUUAAGAUAUCAGUAUUACAAGCAUAAAGUGAUUUUUCAUAAAAAAAUUGAAUAUAACAGAAGAAAAGAAACUGCUGCAGAUUACAUCAAAAUAUUUAUUAUACAGUAAUGGAUUUGGUCUUAAGUUGGUAACUUAGUAUUGAUUAUCUCCACUGUAUAAUUGUGUAACGUGUAUUUUUUUUCCUGUUCAGUUGUGUUUGAUUCUUGGAGAGGUCUGCAAUUUUCUUGACAAGUCCCUGCGGUUUCCUUGGCAAGAUGUUUCAGCAGUGUUUGCCACUGCUUCUUUUCUAGGGGUUAGCAAAUAUAAUUGGCCCAAGGUCAUCUAGCUGGCUUUGUGCCCAAGAUGGGACUAGAACUCCCAGUCUCCAGCUUUCUAGCCUGGUGCCUUAACCACUACACCUACUGCUAACUUAUAAAUUGCCAUAUUGCAUGAUAUAUUGUAUUUAUGGGAUACAAUAGAGUGGAACCAUUCUUUCUUAUAUUUGCUUCCAUAUAUGGUGAUAGUUUUGCCAUUGCUGCUUAUUCUCCAAGUUUAACUUCCCAAUUAGAUAUUGUCAGAAUAGUAUCUCUCUUCCAGAGUAUUUGACAUUUUAGAAUGUGGGUAAACAAGCUUCUAGUUUUCCUAACAUUCCUUUUUAGGAAAACAAAUCCUAUAUAUAAUGUUAAAUAUGUCCCUCUCUUCCCAGCAGUUAAAAACAAUUACAUUGAAGCCCUCUGGCAGACUUAAAUACCUGCCUUAUAUAAAGGCAGAGAUGUGAAGUAAGCAGCAGGUGUUCCCACAAGGCACAAGAUCUUCUGUUCCAUAUCAAAUAUGGGGCUCUACACUUCCAAAAGUCUUCCAGCCAACUCGUGGGUGAUUCACAUACAUACACAUCCCUGAGUUAACUUGCUUCUGUUUUGGAAUUUCUCAUAGGUAUCUAGUUGUUACCAAGUCUAAUAACUGAAUAAUGGUGUAGGCUGAUCUUUGAUCUUACCCACUGAAUUGUUUUAUUUAUUAGUUAAAUUUAAAAAGCCACCCAGCUGAUCACAACUCUGGAUGGCAUACAAGCUAAACGCCUUUAUAAAGGUUUUUUUUUUGAAGCUACACAAAGAGCUCCUAUUUUUAGAAUCACAGUGAAUUUCUUAGCAGCAACUAUAUUCCAACCAAUAUGUUUUUCUGAUCUGCUAAGCAAUAUGUUCCAUCUAAACUGAUUUUUAAUUUAAAGCAUUGGUGGGAAGCUGACCAUGCAUAUCUUAGCAACCAUCUUAUAGUUGACUAUAAUAUAUUGUCCAAAUUCCAGAUGUGUCCAUUGGGCUAAAAAAAGAUUGGGGAGCUCUUUACUAAACAUUAGUUGACUCAUCUGUCAAAUAAUCCGUCCGAUAGCUGUAAUAAUAAAAGGAAUUAAAGAAACAGAACUAUCCAUACAGUACAGUGUAUGCAUACUCUACAAAACAGUCUAUAAUCUGGAGCAACUGGGGUUGACUGAAGUGACUCUGGAGAUAUAUGCAUGCUCUUGGCAACAGCAGAUAUGGUGGGUUUAGCCAAUGUUUGCCACUUCUGAAGGUGCGCUGUGUUGCUGGAUGUGAAAAAGAAAAGAGGAGGAGGAAGCUGCACUAUGAAAGGACACAACAUGGGUUGACACAGAACCAGGGCACGGCUUAAUGCAGAUUUAGGAAGGAUUUCAAAAACCAAACACAGAGUGUAUUGUCAGGUAAUUACUGUAUGUGCCUGUUUAGUCUGCUAUCCAUAUGCUGACUGGUGAUGGAGUAUUUCAAGAUAUUUGAAGCUCUAUUCCUAUAGUAACUUUAAAAAUUGGUCUUGAACAGCCUGACAAACAAAGAGGAUCUCCAGAUAAAAAGCUGUCUUCUAACAAGCCUUAAGCAGAGACACACAUUCCCCUGAAAUUGCUAGGAAUAGGAGUUUUUCAUUUCCUUAUUUUACAAAUAGCAAGCAUAGCUUGGAGCACUGAACUUUUCCCUUCAUUUUCCAGUUGCAGUCCCUAAAGCUCAAAUAAUCCUCAGGUUGUAUUUUUCAUGAAAUGUCAAAAACAAAUGGACAUCAAUAAACCACGUUAAGGAAGAAGUGCAGUUCUUGAAACUUCUCAAAGACGUUUAAGCACCUCGUGGGAAGUCUAUUUCUCCAUUGUUUUCAGUACUAUUAUCACACGUCAGUAGGUCUUACAUGGCUUUCUUGAGUAAAGAUUUUUCAGUUUUCUGUAGAAGUUUUCAGUUUCAGUCAUGGUUCAAAUAUAAUUUUAUUUUUGUAAGAACACUGGGUUUUUUUGACAAUGCAUGUCAGUCGUAGAUCAGUGCCACUGAAAUGAAACACUUGUUUCCGACUUUUAAAAAACAUAAUGGUGGAUUAAAAUGUUCUCUUCAAUUUAGGCACAGGUAUCUCCCAGCACUCAAAAGAGUAAGUAAGGCUUGAUUGCAAAAUAAAAAUAAAAUAAAGAAGGAUUUACUUUCAAUAAUUAAAGAGAAAAUUUCUCAGUGAAAAGGCAUAGGGAAUUGUUAACCAAAAGUGAGUUUAUACAAUAGAAAAAAGUAAUCCGAAUUGCUCUCAAUAAAUUUUGUUAUUCACAACAUAUAUCAUGAUACAGGUAGUCCUUGACUUAUGAUCACAAUAGGGACUGGAACUUCUGUCACUAAGCAAAGUGGUUGUUAAGUGUGUUGCACCCAAUUUUACAACCUUUUUUUUUUGCUCAGUUAAGUGAAUCACAUGGUUAUUAAGUGAAUCCAAUUGAAUUUGCUUGUCAGAACCAGCUCAGAAAGUUGCAAGUUGUAAUGUGUGAUCACAUGAUCCCAGGAUACUGCAACCAUCAUAUAUACAUGCCAGUUGCGAAACAUUUGAAAUUUGAUUAUGUGCCUGUGGGGACACUUUGCCAGUCAUAAGUGUGCAGCUAGAUGUAAGUCAAUUUUUUAGCAUAAUCACUAAACGAAUGAUUGUAAGUCGAACGCUCCGUGUAGCAACAAGAAAUACAAAUUCACUUCAUUAUCCAUUUUUAAAAACUAUUUCAUUGUAGGGGACACAGGAAAACAUGUUUCAAAUAAAGUCAAAGUUUACAUUAAUCAAACUGAUUCAGUAAUAUCCAUUAUAUCAGUAUAGAAAUAUACUGAUAGCAUAAAUACGGUGUGUGAACAAAAGUCAAAGCACAUGGAGAAUUUUUAUAUAAAUUCAAACUGGUUAUUUUCUCCUAAAUACUUAUUUGUCCAUUUGACACAUGACCUUUGAACAUGGCUAAGUACAGUAACUUUUUUUCCUGAAAAAAUGUUAAUAACAUUAAUAAAAUGUACUAUGAUUGACCUGUGGGCCUGACUUUUGACACACAUUGUAUUUAUUCCAAUAUUAAAAAGGGUUGAUCCAGUAUCUACAUAGGGGCAAACUAUGUAACCCAAUGUGGUCAGCAGCCCUCAUGCUUCUUCCCCCAGCUCCCAGUGUUCUGUUGUUUGGAUGGUUGAUGGAUGUAGGAGAUAACAUGAACCAAAUCACUCAUUUUACUCUUCAAAACUCUGGAGCUUCUCUCUCCAUAUGGGCCCUAUCCCAAUCUGUUUUGUACUGUGGUCCUCUGCACGCAGUCUGGGGAGCCAAUGUUACUAAUUCACUCACACUUUUUCGCUUCCUAAAAUCAAAGUUAAGCCCUUGAUUCCUUUGGACUCAAAUGUAAACCUCAAUGCAUUCAGGCAAUACAACCUUAUUCCCAAGAAAAGAUCCAUUAGGUUACAAUUAAAGUUCUUACUUCAGUUUCUAACGUAAGUUAACUAGACUAAAUAUAAUCCAAGAAUGCCCCAUUUUUCUGAACAACUUGCAAAAUAUGAGUAUGGGAAAUGACAUCAGUUGACUUAUAUUUCCUGCUCAGAAGAAGGAACCUUUAAUUAUGAUGUCCAGAGGGUGGUGGUUUCUUUCCAUUUUAGGUUACGAAAUGUACAUCCUUCAGUUGGCAUUUGUCACUUUCAGAAUGACAUUAUUCAUCCAUGCACAACCCAGAGUGGUCUAACUGCACAUAGAAGGAAAGGGGCUACACUAGCACUACUUCCUGUUUGUUGAGACUGCAUUUUCUUUUUUUUGGUCCUUCCCAUGAAACAGCAAAAAGUGAGGAAUUCUUGGAAAAGCUCCAAAGUGAUUCUUUAUUCAAACCUGCCUUGUGCCUCAGCUUGAACUAAGCAGAUUAUUGGCUAAAGACAUAACCCUCUUUAUGUAGUUCAACAUUUGCUUUGAUCACAUUAAAUUUGUCUUAUAUGGGAGGAACUACUUCAGGAACUGAAUAAAAGAUAUACUUCAGGAAGCUGUACCUAGAGUGGUUCUAAAUCCAGACUUCAAGUACUUGAGGAUAUAAUCAAGAAGAACAUAUGCAUAUUUCAUAUGUAAUAGUUGAUCUACAGCUAUAUUAACAAACUUAUAAUGGCACAAUAAUUGAACAAGAACAAACAUGUUAACUCAGAAGGGAACAGACUUCAUAAUUUUGUGAGAGACAUAAGUAAAACACACCAGAGUGUAUACUCCUCCUAGGGUCACCCAAAGUAUAAAGGCUAUUUCAGUUGCCCAAAUAAAGGAAGCAGUUACCUGUAAUAAGCAGCAUCAAUAUAGGAAGAUACUAGAGGCAGGUAAUCACCUUAACGAAAGCAACAUAAGCAUCAUUACAUACUGGGUGGGGGAAGUCAACAGUAAACCACUCCUGUAUUUUACCAAGAAAACCAUAUGGGUAGACAAGAUAAAGUGACUGAUGAUAGGGGCCUCAGUUUCAAUGAUACUUAACAUACUACUAGUGUUUAUGAUGUGACUAAAGUAAAACCUUUCAGGCAUCUAGUUGCUGAUAUUACCAUCCAGGAAAAUAUAAUUUGAAGCUUCAAAAGCAUAAUUUUAGUGGGAACAUGGAAUAUAAAAAGCACAAACGUGAGAAAGUUCAAAGCGAAGAUGAAAUUAAUUUUGUUGACAUUUUGAGUACCAACAAAUUCAAGUAGAUUGAAGUUGAACACUUUCAGUCCAAAAAAAAAAUCAUGUUUACUACUCAGGGUAUGAAAAAUAAAGAAAAAUAUUUCAUAAUACAGAAGAACUUGGCAAAGACAGUCCUUGAGUAUAAUACAGUAAAUGGCUGAAUAAUAUCAGUUAGAUUUUGCAGACAACCCUUUAAUAUUAUGAUUAUUCAAAUUUAUGCCGCAAUCAUUGGUGCAGAAAAAAAAGAUGAGUUUUAUGACCAAAUUCAUUCUGAAAUGGAUAAAACAAGCAAAUAAAGUUGUGCUACUUCUGGUUGGACACUGGAAUGCCAAUGUGGGAAAUAGUAAGAAGGAAAAUGCAGCUGGGCUUUAUGGACUACAAAAGAGAAAUGAAGCAGAACAACUUAUCAACUUCUGCCAAUCUGAUGGUUUCUUCACUGAUAACACCUGUUUCAGUCAAGCCAACAGCACCAGAUGGAGCACACAGGAAUCAUAUUGACUAUAUUAUUGGUACAAGAAGAAGAAAUAUUGAGUUAUAAUAACAAAGGCAUGAUUGAGGGCUGAUUGUGGAAUAGAUCACAAAUUGUUUAUAUGCAAAUUUCAAGUCAAGUUAACAUGGAGGGACAGAACCAGCUAGUUUCCAUAAUAUGAUCCUGAAUAUAUAUCUACCAUUUUCAAGAAGAACACCAGAAACUGCAAUUUACUUCUGAACCUUAUUAAUAGAUAGCCAGAUGAAUUGUGGAAUUAAAUCAAAGGAUAUAAUGAUGCGUGGGGAUGACCUUGAGAGACAGGGAGAAGAGAGGGCAGCCAGAGGCAACUUAGAUCACAUGAGGAAUGUGCGCAGGGCAAAACAGCUCAGAAGCAAUACUCCCCAGUUUCUUUGGGCUGUAAAGGAGACUGGACAAGCGAUAAAGGUACUUUCAGAUUUGCAAGAUUCUGUUACUGUAACCUUACAAUAAAGUAGAAUUGGCUCAUCUGGUCAUGCUUCCUGUCUGGUCUACCUCAAAAGACUGACAAAGAAAUUGUUAAAGAUGAAUGUGAAAAGAUAUUACCACAGACCCAGAAACAGAAGACAGGAAACUUGGUGUUAAAAGAAAUGCUAGAAAUUACCCAGAGGAGAGAAGCAAAACCAAGAAAGAUUGCAGCAAGCUCAGUUUGGGUACUCCACGGUUUGCUGAUGUUAAGCUGCACCUGUUUCCAGUUUCUUUCUGGGUGCAAUCCAAGACGUCAGUUAUUAAAGCCUGAAUUACUUGUGGGUACAGGCCUGGUUACUUGUGGGACUGCCUCUCCCUGAAGGAAUUUGCCUUCUCCACCUGGUCUGAGAGGGUAGGUGUAUUCCAGGUCCCUUCCUUAAAGUUGGACCUAUUCAAUGCACCUUUUUGAUAGCAGGCACUACUCAUUGGAACACUCAUCCCCCUAAGAAGUGGCAGGACUUUACCCUCCUAGUCUUCCAAAAAGCCUUGGUCUUUUCUUGCAAGCAUAGGAGUAGUUUGUCACUGGAGACCAGAAAAGUUCUUUGUUGGACAUGAGAGCUGUAUUAUUUUGGGGGAUGUACUUAUACUUUUAUUUUUAUUUUUAUUCUUUUUAUUAUUGCUUGUAAGCUACUCAGGACUAUGCUACAUAAAUUGGAUGGCUCUGUAAACCAGAUAGAUAGAUAGAUAGAUAGAUAGAUAGAUAGAUAGAUAGAUAGAUAGAUAGAUAGAUAGAUAGAUAGAUAGAUAGAUAGAUAAUAGACAGACAGACAGACAGACAUGUGGAAGACAGACAAAGAGAGACAGAGAGAGAUGUAGAUCUCAGGAAGAAAUUUACCCAUUUCAGAAAGAAAUAGAGCAGUAUAAUGAUAACAUCUGUAAAGACAUCGAGAGUAGAUAAAGAAAAAAUCCUCAAAAACAUUUUCCAAAUGAUACCUGAAGUCAAAAGUGGCUCCAACUUCAAAUCGCUGUGGUAAAGAAUGCCAAUGGGUAGAUAGUAACUGAUUCAGAGAAGAUCAAAUAGAGAUGGAAAGAAUAUAUAUUGACAUUCUGUUUAGUAGAUUGUCAACACUCAUGAAAACUUAGCAAUUUUUUUUACAAUAGUCUCUAGUUCUAAUCUAGGCAACAAAGGUAGAUCAAUAUACUGGAAAUUACCAAAUUGAAAGGCUACAAGAAUUGAUAGAACAUUUACAGAAAUAUGGCAAGUAACAGAAAAAGAUUCUUUAACAGAUUGUGCAAGCUAUUAGAUUAUACUCUUAAUUUCACAUACCAGCAAAACAAUGGUUAGGACUGCCAACCAUAGGAGUACAUAAUAGGAGGUGCCAGAUAUUCAAGCUGAUUUUAGAAAAGUGUGGGGAACAAGAAACAUUGCUAAUGCACAAUGGUUAAUUGAGAAAGCCAAAGACUAUUCAGAACAAGUCAACAUGUGUUUUGUUGACUAUAGAAAGGCCUUUGAUUGUGUUAUUCAUACCAAGCUGGGGAAAUUCCUUUGGAAAUUGGGAAUCCCACAAUAAUUCAUUGCCUAAUGCAAAAUGUUUACAUAAGCUAGGAAGCCACAGUGUAGAUUAGGGGUUCCCAACCAGAGGUGCUCGCACCCCUGGGAGUGCGAGACAAUAUUCCAGGGGGAAUGAAAACUUAGGUUUAGAAGUUCCAAAUUAUUUUUUAUUUUCACAUCAUUCAAAAUUUGUUUAAAUAAGUUUAUUACUUUUGUAAGGGGUGGAAGAAUAUAUCAGAAGCGUUCUAGGGGUGCGGGGUAUAGAAAAGGUUGGAAACCGCUGGUCUAGAUGGAACAUGGUGAAACAAAUCGACUCUACAUCAGUAACAAUAUGAGACAAGGCUAUAUGUUUGCUUUUCAUUUAUCCAAAUUAUAUGAGAAAUAUAUAUUGAAGGAAAUUAGGAUGGAAGAAAAUGAGUGUUGUUUUAAAAUUGGAGGGGAAAAAACCCAGCUCCAAUAAUGAAAGCCAAGAAGCACAAUGAAAGGACUACAGUUAAAUAUAAAGACCAAAUUAAUUACAGCAGGUUCAGCAAUCAACCAUGAAAGUACUGAAGAGAUGGCUAGCUUCUGCCUUUAGGAUUGACUACUAAUAAUAAAGGAACCAGUCAAGAAAUAUAUUGCAAACUAGAGUAACAGUGAAAACCUUGAAAAAGGCAUUCAGAUGCUGCAAUGGGGCUAUAUGGACAGAAGUAAAGUCAUGUUAUAAUAAAAAUAAUCUAUACUUGGGCAAUUCUUUUUCUACAUGAAGAAUGCUAUUUUAAAAAAAUAAAACAGCUUCACAUUUAACCCUGAAACUACACAAGUGUCAGUUCUUAUUUCUAGCUUACAAGGUUUGCUGUCAUAUAGAAUUCUAUUCCUAGGAGAGUUUAUGAAUAACAAAUACCCAUACUGAAGGGUAUUGUAUGGGGGGUGAUAUGAAUAGUACU
This is a long non-coding RNA of Crotalus tigris (Tiger rattlesnake), 9754 nucleotides long. RefSeq lists it as uncharacterized. The record is from RefSeq and is a predicted model, not a curated record. NCBI's taxonomy places the organism in Eukaryota, Metazoa, Chordata, Lepidosauria, Squamata, Viperidae. The transcript has 3 exons.